This 483-nucleotide ribosomal RNA is filed under the name uncultured bacterium. RNAcentral's name for it is "bacterial SSU rRNA". It matches the Rfam family "Bacterial small subunit ribosomal RNA", at positions 28 to 523 of the family's 1533-position model. The record is from RNAcentral.
GACGAACGCUGGCGGCGUGCCUAACACAUGCAAGUCGAACGGGAUCCAUGAGAGCUUGCUCUCGGAAGAUCUAGUGGCGAACGGGUGAGUAACACGUGAGAAACCUGCCCUGGAGUGGGGAAUAACUCGGGGAAACCCGAGCUAAUACCGCAUACCCUUGGAUGAUCGCAUGGUCGACCAAGGAAAGAUUUAUCGCUCUAGGAGGGUCUCGCGGCCUAUCAGCUAGUUGGUGGGGUAAUGGCCUACCAAGGCAACGACGGGUAGCUGGUUUGAGAGAACGAUCAGCCACACUGGGACUGAGACACGGCCCAGACUCCUACGGGAGGCAGCAGUGGGGAAUCUUGCGCAAUGGGCGAAAGCCUGACGCAGCAACGCCGCGUGCGGGAUGACGGCCUUCGUGGUUGUAAACCGCUUUCAGCAGGGCGAAAAUGACGGUACCUGCAGAAGAAGACCCGGCUAACUACGUGCCAGCAGCCGCGGUAA